GUGACAGCCGCCGCGGUAAUACAGAGGUGGCAAGCGUUGUUCGGAAUUACUGGGCGUAAAGGGCGCGUAGGCGGUUUGUCAAGUCCCGUGUGAAAGCCCUCGGCUCAACCGAGGAAUGGCGCGGGAUACUAGCAGGCUUGAGUUCGGGAGAGGGAAGCGGAAUUCCGGGUGUAGCGGUGAAAUGCGCAGAUAUCCGGAGGAACACCGGUGGCGAAGGCGGCUUCCUGGACCGACACUGACGCUGAGGCGCGAAAGCUAGGGGAGCAAACGGGAUUAGAUACCCGCGUAGUCC
This 292-nucleotide ribosomal RNA is filed under the name uncultured bacterium. Its description in RNAcentral is "partial 16S ribosomal RNA". It matches the Rfam family "Bacterial small subunit ribosomal RNA", at positions 505 to 796 of the family's 1533-position model. The record is from RNAcentral.